GCUGGGUGUGGUGGCACAUGCCUGUAAUCCCAGCUACUUAGGAGGCUGAGGCAGGCGAAUUGCUUGAACCCAGGAGGCGGAGGUCGCAGUGAGCUGACAUCGUGCCACUGCACUCCUGCCUGAGUGAUAGAGCAAGACUCUGUCUCAA
RNAcentral lists this non-coding RNA (148 nucleotides) under Papio anubis (olive baboon). The record is from Rfam by way of RNAcentral. Lineage: Eukaryota; Metazoa; Chordata; Mammalia; Primates; Cercopithecidae.